GGGUGGUUAGCUCAGUGGUAGAGCACUGCCUUCACACGGCAGGGGUCACAAGUUCGAACCUUGUACCACCCACCA
This 75-nucleotide transfer RNA is filed under the name Bordetella petrii. RNAcentral's name for it is "tRNA-Val (CAC) (tRNA-Val-CAC-1-1)". It matches the Rfam family "tRNA". From Rfam's summary of the family: Transfer RNA (tRNA) molecules are approximately 80 nucleotides in length. Their secondary structure includes four short double-helical elements and three loops (D, anti-codon, and T loops). Lineage: Bacteria; Pseudomonadati; Pseudomonadota; Betaproteobacteria; Burkholderiales; Alcaligenaceae. The record is from RNAcentral. RNAcentral also lists the same sequence under 11 other names.